RNAcentral lists this long non-coding RNA (349 nucleotides) under Capsella grandiflora. Its description in RNAcentral is "long non-coding RNA (CGRA_LNC001157)". Lineage: Eukaryota; Viridiplantae; Streptophyta; Magnoliopsida; Brassicales; Brassicaceae. The record is from RNAcentral.
GAAGCUGGUAGGCUUGUUUAGCCACUCAGAUUCUUCAGAACAUGAAGCAUCCUCCUCUGUGGCAAAAGAACCAAAACAAAGGUGAGAACUUUGCGCAAACCAAAACCUUGUGAAUCCAUGUAGCUAAUUAGCACCAAUUUAUAUGUAAUUGCUACUAUAUAUGAACGAGUCACUAAUCAGUCUUGAGAGUGUUCUUUUUUUUUUUUCCAGUGUCUUCUUACCUUUAAAACUAAGGGAUAUCUUCCUCACAGGGGAUGGUGAAUCCUCUUCGUCGAAGGCUGCAUCAAGAACUGAAACAGGACUCGGUUGUUCAAUGGUAACUUUCAGAGGUUUUAGGAACGGUCUGUCC